RNAcentral lists this transfer RNA (77 nucleotides) under Candidatus Magasanikiibacteriota bacterium. RNAcentral's name for it is "Candidatus Magasanikbacteria bacterium tRNA-Val". It matches the Rfam family "tRNA". Rfam says of the family: Transfer RNA (tRNA) molecules are approximately 80 nucleotides in length. The record is from RNAcentral. Lineage: Bacteria; Candidatus Magasanikiibacteriota.
GGGCGGCUAGCUCAGUUGGUUAGAGCGUUACAUUGACAUUGUAAAGGUCACAGGUUCGAAUCCUGUGCCGCCCACCA